UACGGAGGAUGCAAGCGUUAUCCGGAAUCAUUGGGUUUAAAGGGUCCGUAGGCGGGUUGUUAAGUCAGAGGUGAAAGUUUGCAGCUCAACUGUAAAAUUGCCUUUGAUACUGGCAGUCUUGAAUCAUUGUGAAGUGGUUAGAAUGUGUAGUGUAGCGGUGAAAUGCUUAGAUAUUACACAGAAUACCGAUUGCGAAGGCAGAUCACUAACAAUGUAUUGACGCUCAGGGACGAAAGCGUGGGGAGCAAACAGG
Molecule: ribosomal RNA, 253 nt
Filed under: uncultured bacterium
Lineage: Bacteria
Description: partial 16S ribosomal RNA
Rfam family: Bacterial small subunit ribosomal RNA
Source: RNAcentral